UAGCAGUAACGAGCCUUAACCCGU
RNAcentral lists this non-coding RNA (24 nucleotides) under Arabidopsis thaliana (thale cress). Lineage: Eukaryota; Viridiplantae; Streptophyta; Magnoliopsida; Brassicales; Brassicaceae. The record is from RNAcentral.